Non-coding RNA from Homo sapiens (human), 1185 nucleotides. NCBI's taxonomy places the organism in Eukaryota, Metazoa, Chordata, Mammalia, Primates, Hominidae. The record is from RefSeq and is a predicted model, not a curated record.
AAAAAGGAGAGAGAGAGAGAGAAAAGAAAAAAGAGAAAGGAAAGCAUGAGUAAUAAAUAAGGAUAACAACUAACAUCUGUUAGAUGGUAUUAAUGGUCUGUGUUCCAGGCGCCAUUCUAAGUGUUUCACAUUUAAGUAUUUUCUCAUUUAAUCUUCCUGGCAGCCAUUCAAGGUAGGGGCCAUUGUCAUCUCCAGUUGGCCAAUUAGAAAAUUGAGUGCUGAGACCCGGAGUCGCCUGUCUGAGGUCACACAGCUGGUCAGUAGGGCCUGGAUUCAAACCCAGGCAGUCUGAUUCAAGAGCCUGAUUGAGAUCCUGUGCUUCUGUCUGCUCUCUUCUGCUGCACCUGUCCCCACGCGAUGAAUGACAAAGCCAGGCUCAGAGAAGUUAACCAGCUUGUCGGAGAAGACCUAGGUGGUGGUUACAGUGCUACGCCAGGAACCUUGGUCUGCAUGGACCCCAGAGGCCGUGCUCACAGCCAUGCAGCUGACUGGCCUCCCACGCUUGCUGGAGGAGCUACAGCUGCUUUUCUUGUGCACGUGCAACAGUGGAAGUGAUGGCUGACUGUGUGUUGGCUCCAUAAGAAGAACAUCACAGAAAGCAAAAUGGUGCCAGCUCAACACCAGUAUCCUCGGACUCUUCAGACAGAAAAACCUGUUAAUUCCAAUCACAAUUCAUUCUUUCAUUCAGCUCAUGGAAGCCAAGCAGGGCUUUGGGACAUUCAUUCUGGCAAAGUGAAACAACUGACUUUUUGUGAAUGCUAUUUAAGUUGUUUAAAUUUUCCACAUUGGAAAUAAAGUCAUUGCAUUUUUGUGAGGAUAAAACACAAAUUGUGGUGGAGUCCAGCGUCAUGGUAACAAUAAUAUUCCUACUAAAUUAAGACACUAAUGAAACAGAAAUGUGAUUGGAACAGGUCAUGGUGCACACACAAUUUGUUAUUGCAUAUAAAUAAAUGUCAAUAUUCUAUAAAUUGACAUUUAUAGACGUACGUGACAAAAUUUACAAAAUGUUAAAACAUAUGCACAGAUUUACUGAACUACAAACUUGUGAUAAAGUUGUUCAUGAAUUUUUUUAAAAAACUGGACUUUCACAUGUGUUUUCUCUUUUAUUUUCCCAUUAUCAAUCAAUUUUAGUGGACAUUGAGUCUCAGCAUCCUAAAAUGUUAUUAAACAGUGUAUUAAAACAGA